GCCCAAUCUCAGAUCAUAUAUGUUCAGGAGUUCAUCUUCCAUUGUAUCUGGUCUCAUAGCAGUUCAUCUAACUGACUGUCAUCAUUUGUUCAAAUCUGAAGAACUAGUUGACAUGUCAUGUUUUUGGCUGGGGAUCUUCAGGUUGUGUCCUUGAAUUCAAUGAUUAAGAGUUUGUUCGGCAAUAUUAACUGUUUUAGCAGCUGUCGGCUGUUUUAUCAGCUGAUAGCUGUUAUAUAUUUGUUGUUAAUGAUUAGCUGCUUGUAUAGUGAUUAAAAGCAAAAGUAUUCGAUAAAAAUAGUUA
This 301-nucleotide unclassified non-coding RNA is filed under the name Hevea brasiliensis (rubber tree). The record is from RNAcentral. Lineage: Eukaryota; Viridiplantae; Streptophyta; Magnoliopsida; Malpighiales; Euphorbiaceae.